RNAcentral lists this ribosomal RNA (730 nucleotides) under uncultured bacterium. Its description in RNAcentral is "bacterial SSU rRNA". It matches the Rfam family "Bacterial small subunit ribosomal RNA", at positions 771 to 1501 of the family's 1533-position model. The record is from RNAcentral.
AACAGGAUUAGAUACCCUGGUAGUCCACGCCGUAAACGAUGUCGACUUGGAGGUUGUGCCCUUGAGGCGUGGCUUCCGGAGCUAACGCGUUAAGUCGACCGCCUGGGGAGUACGGCCGCAAGGUUAAAACUCAAAUGAAUUGACGGGGGCCCGCACAAGCGGUGGAGCAUGUGGUUUAAUUCGAUGCAACGCGAAGAACCUUACCUGGUCUUGACAUCCACGGAAUUUGGCAGAGAUGCCUUAGUGCCUUCGGGAACCGUGAGACAGGUGCUGCAUGGCUGUCGUCAGCUCGUGUUGUGAAAUGUCGGGUUAAGUCCCGCAACGAGCGCAACCCUUAUCCUUUGUUGCCAGCGGUCCGGCCGGGAACUCAAAGGAGACUGCCAGUGAUAAACUGGAGGAAGGUGGGGAUGACGUCAAGUCAUCAUGGCCCUUACGAGUAGGGCUACACACGUGCUACAAUGGCAUAUACAAAGAGAAGCGACCUCGCGAGAGCAAGCGGACCUCAUAAAGUAUGUCGUAGUCCGGAUUGGAGUCUGCAACUCGACUCCAUGAAGUCGGAAUCGCUAGUAAUCGUGGAUCAGAAUGCCACGGUGAAUACGUUCCCGGGCCUUGUACACACCGCCCGUCACACCAUGGGAGUGGGUUGCAAAAGAAGUAGGUAGCUUAACCUUCGGGAGGGCGCUUACCACUUUGUGACUCAUGACUGGGGUGAAGUCGUAACAAGGUAACC